UGCAAUCUGUGAUGAAGUUGUAAUUUAUUGCUGAGUUGCAAUGAUUAUUCAUCAAAUUAAUCACCAUCUUUCGGCUGAGGUUGCA
Elaeis guineensis (African oil palm) is the source of this 85-nucleotide small nucleolar RNA. Lineage: Eukaryota; Viridiplantae; Streptophyta; Magnoliopsida; Arecales; Arecaceae. The record is from RefSeq and is a predicted model, not a curated record.